RNAcentral lists this ribosomal RNA (253 nucleotides) under Mesorhizobium huakuii. RNAcentral's name for it is "partial 16S ribosomal RNA". It matches the Rfam family "Bacterial small subunit ribosomal RNA", at positions 524 to 776 of the family's 1533-position model. RNAcentral also lists the same sequence under 1 other name. Lineage: Bacteria; Pseudomonadati; Pseudomonadota; Alphaproteobacteria; Hyphomicrobiales; Phyllobacteriaceae. The record is from RNAcentral.
UACGAAGGGGGCUAGCGUUGUUCGGAAUUACUGGGCGUAAAGCGCACGUAGGCGGAUAUUUAAGUCAGGGGUGAAAUCCCGGGGCUCAACCCCGGAACUGCCUUUGAUACUGGGUAUCUCGAGUCCGGAAGAGGUGAGUGGAAUUCCGAGUGUAGAGGUGAAAUUCGUAGAUAUUCGGAGGAACACCAGUGGCGAAGGCGGCUCACUGGUCCGGUACUGACGCUGAGGUGCGAAAGCGUGGGGAGCAAACAGG